Molecule: ribosomal RNA, 253 nt
Filed under: uncultured bacterium
Lineage: Bacteria
Description: partial 16S ribosomal RNA
Rfam family: Bacterial small subunit ribosomal RNA
Source: RNAcentral
UACGGAGGGUGCGAGCGUUGUCCGGAAUCACUGGGCGUAAAGGGCGCGUAGGUGGCCCGUCAAGCGCGCGGUGAAAGCCCGGGGCUCAACCCCGGGUCGGCCGUGCGGACUGGCGGGCUCGAGCACUGUAGGGGCGGGUGGAAUUCCGGGUGUAGCGGUGGAAUGCGUAGAGAUCCGGAAGAACACCAGUGGCGAAGGCGACUUACUGGACACAUAUUGACGCUGAGGUGCGAAAGCGUGGGGAGCAAACAGG